Molecule: long non-coding RNA, 224 nt
Filed under: Elaeis guineensis (African oil palm)
Lineage: Eukaryota; Viridiplantae; Streptophyta; Magnoliopsida; Arecales; Arecaceae
Description: long non-coding RNA (EGUI_LNC041257)
Source: RNAcentral
AACAUUGUUUCAUUUCAUGAGUUAUUGGCUUGAGGAGGCUGAUUGCAUUGAUGUGGUUAUUAACAACUCAUGACCUAUUAGACGAUGUGCAAAUCCCCCUGCAGCUUGGAUUGACAAUUUGAGAAGGCUCCGGUCAGCUUUGAAAAGAUGGUCCUUAGCUAAGAGGGUCUUUAAGAAAGAGUUGAAAUAUAGGCUAUUGCAUGAUGUGAAGCUUCUUGAUAAGG